This is a long non-coding RNA of Fukomys damarensis (Damara mole-rat), 4624 nucleotides long. The record is from Ensembl. NCBI's taxonomy places the organism in Eukaryota, Metazoa, Chordata, Mammalia, Rodentia, Bathyergidae.
CCGGGGAUUUAGCUUAGCUAUGCCACCACCUGCCUUGCAAACAAAAGUUCCAUCCCGGGUACCAAAAUAAAAACAAAACGAAUGAUGGGCCUAAGUGCUUGAGGUGAGGGUGAGGGUUUAGAGGGGGAUUCAUAGCAGUGUGUCUUUUACCGUAAUACUUUAAAAAAAUUAAACACUCACUGUAGUUUUCGAUCCCAACGCUUACUUGUUAAGAGAUGGGAAAGGACAAAGGAGAGAUCGGUGAGAGGUUGCGGGAGCAUCCGGGCAUUCCCUGGGAUGCAUCCGGGCAUUCCCAGGCCUGCAUCCGGGCAUUCCCAGGCCUGUGUCCUUUUCCAGCUGCUCUUUGGCCUCUUAACCAGAGCUUGCUCCCCUCAGAUCGGCCGUUUCACACUGUUGCCCCCCACCCCCGCCCACCCCUUCAGCGCCAGCUUCUGGGAGACUAUUUCCAUGACGACCGGAGUAACACCUCCAGUCUGCCACCUCCUAACUGCCGAGAUAAAAGGGUAAAGGAAAAACAAGGUAGAGGUGCACAAACACGUCCUUGCACCGCUCACCGGCCGGGAGCAUCACGCUGUUGGCCACCAGCUCGUUCUUCAGCUUGUCUUUGGUCAGCACGGAGGGGUCCUCCGGGAACUCCAGCACCACUCGGGGCUCCUGGCUGGGGCCGUGCUGCUGCCACGUGGGGACUCUUGGCCAGAUGAGCAGAUGCAGAGCAGGGCCUCAGCCUGCGGGAGCAACAAGACAUCUUAGACAAUAUAUUACAGUUACUCUGGAGUUGGAUCUAAUAGUUGUUUUUGCUGUUUUGUUUGUUUAGUGACUUGCUUAGACGGAUGAAGUCUGUCCAGUGUGUGGCCACUUACAAGUCUAUGCAAAUUUUUGUACUUUUUAGUUAAUGUUUUUAUUUCUAAGUCAGCUACCUAGUGCUCAUUCCACGGUUUGUAUGGCUGAGGGAUUUUCCAACGAUUGGUCAGAAGUUGUCCUUCAAAACUUUGGGCCAACAAGGCUUGCUCUCAUUGUUCAGGGGCCUAUGUGCACAUAUUCAAAGUUUAGACAGUUUUUAAUUCUGCCUGAGGUUUCAGUUUCUGUCUGCACAGAGCCUCAUGAUCAGCAGGAGGCCCUGGAGCCCUCUUUGGUCUUUCUGCAGUGUGAAUACGAACCCGUGGACGUGCAUGGCUCUCCAGAUCCCCAGGAAUAAUUGAGGUUCUUGAAACCUCUGUGGCCAUCUUGUUUCCCCAGGUAUUUCUCUUAUAUUUUUGGCUGGUCUCUUACUUUUCACAGAAAACUGUAGCCACAGAAACCAAAUAAAUUACUGGCUGGUAGCAUAACAAAAUAACUGUAUGAAAUUAGAAGUCUAUUUGCACAACUUGAAAAGAAGUCAAUUCAGCUUGAAGCUUGUGCACCCUUACAUUACAUUCUUUACAUCCCACUGUCAGAGAAGUCAGCCAGUCAUUUACCAGUCAUCUUUCAGGGGUCUGUCUCCUCCAAUAAAUGAUGGGCUUCUUGAAAGAGACAAGGUAUUUUAAUAAUCUAAAUGGCCUCUCUGAGUGGCUGGAAUUCACGGCAGGGACUCAACAUCCCUGCUCCAUGUUGGUGACUGCUACAGAUCCUUUCAGAAGUGCCCCAUGGUGAACGCUGCUUACACUGUGGACUGAUCUGAACUUCAUUUCCCAAACAAUCAUUUGGCAUACAUUUUCAGAAAUAAAUUUGGGCACUAUGAGUAAUUAUCUUUAAUCUAAUUUGGUAUUAACUUUGGGGACAUCUUUCUUUCAAGUAGCUUCCUGAAGACAGUGCUAAAACUAUCCCAUGUGCUUAUUUAUUUUUCCUGGCACCUCUGUGACUUGAGCUAACUUCUGAUGGUUGCCUGAAUAAUGCACGGUGUUAGCCCCAGUGAGAACACCUGGUAGGAAAAGCUCAGCACACCAGGAAGCGACUAAUUACAAAGGACUUACUAUCAUAUUCUUCUUAGUACCAAAUUAUCAGUGUUACUCUGGCUGGGUCCUUCACCUACUGAGUACUCUGCUUAUCAUCCUUCUGCUGAGCCACUGCACACGUUAGUCAGCUUUCUGUUACUAUAACAAACAGGAGAGAUAAAUCAAUUUAGGAAGCAAAAAGGUUUCUUCUGGCUUACAAUUUUGAAAGUUCUAGUGCACGAUCCAUUGUCCCCAUCGAUUUCAGGCCCUGGUGAGACAGGACACUGUGGCAGGGACACAGGACAAAGCAAAAGCAUUUGCCUCAUAGCUGGGAAGCACAAAGCAGGGAGAGGAGGGGCCAGCCAUUCGCAUGCAUUCAGACAUCUGGGGCAGGUCCCAUCGUAGAGGUCACUACCCAUUGCCAGGCUGCGGACCAAGCUUUGCCACACGGACUGGGUGACACUCCAGAUCCUCAUGACGGCCCCCCAGGGUGACGAUCCUCCUCGCUGUAGGGACAAGGACUUCUCUCCCUCCGGUUCCUUCCUCUCAGGUGUGAGACUGGCUUUCUCCAUAAUUUUACAUAGGAAAGUUGUUUGCUACAGAUAAUGCAAGUUUAUCAGAGUUUGGGAUAAAUGAAAGGAAAUGACAACACUGCAUGUGGCCAGCGUGUCUGGGGCUCCGGCUCCUCCCCACUUCUUUCCCACCUGCAGUGACAGCUGUGUGGUCCAGGAGACCUUGCCUCCCACCACUGGGAUUCCUGUGUCUGAGCUCACUGCCCGUUGCUUCCCAGAAGAGAAAGAGUUUUCCCCUCAUGGCAGACGAAGGCCAGGAGCUUCACUGAGCCGGAUAGCUCUCUUCCCACUGCUUGGCCACUUGGCUGACAGUCUCCUGUGAAGGAUCCUUCGGCUCCACCCAGCAGAGCACGGUCUCCCUUCCUAGAGAGAGGAGAGAAGAAAGUGCUGGGUCAACUCCUUAAAUUACCAAAGAGCUGACUAAGACUGAGUGACCCUGUGUGUAUUGUCUGUUACACUAAUGCUCUUCUUUUCGAUGGCAAGAUCUAUGAUGGGGCAUUCAGGUAAGGCUAGGGCACCAGGCAGAUGGAUUUCUGGGGGUGAGUGACAAGAGUAUCUGCUGCGCCCCUAGACAUUGGCCAUAGUGAUGCAGUGCAGGAUGCUUAGCAGCUGAUUGCUUGUGAUUGGCCGUGAGCUAUUUGUUUAUGUCCGGCUUCAAAUACAGAUGAAACCUUAAUCUCUACGGCGGCCAUUUGGAGGUGAGACCUUUGAAGGUAAUUAGGCGUGGACAAGACUGUGUGAGCCUGUAGUCUCCACGAUGGGAUUACUGCACUUACAAAAGAGGAAGAGACACACAGCCACCAAGGAAAGGUCAUGUAAGGACAUGAUCAGGACACGGGCCCCCAAGAAAGCCACCAUGUUGCCACCUGGAUCUCAGCUUCCAGCCUCCAUAAUCGGGAGAAAUAACUUUCCAUUGUGAGCCAACCAGUCUGUGGUAAUUUGUUAAUGCAGCCCAAACCGACUGAGAUGUAAGCCACUUUGAGUCGCGGGUCAUGGUGUAAGGUUGCAGUUCGGCUGAUAAAGAGGUGGCCCAGCAAUCUUGACUGCUCAUGGGGCCUUGGAAGGAGUGCUAGAAAUCAGGACUGGCCUGGGACGUGUGAAGAUUGCCAAGAAUUAGGAAGAGUAGAUUGGGAGGAGGACUGGGAAAUGCAGACGCAAGGUGGGAAUGUCGGUCUGGAAUUCCGGGAAAGGCUGGCCUGGCGCUAUCCAUUCACCAGCUCCUCCUCACAACGCCUUCUCUGUUCCUUCACUCACAGCUUGGAGUCUUCUAGGGAAUAAUAAAGCUCUGUUUGCCCUGGAAGUUCUCCUUCUCCUUCCUCUCCAUGUCAGCCCCUCCUGUUGAUGCUGGAACCUGAGUGUCCGUCUCCUCCCUCACGGUGGCAUAGGGAUCUCACAGCAGGGACACAUCUCCUUUGGCACACGAGUCACCCACUUGCCUAGCUCUCCCGUUACCCUUAGGAAAGUCCUACCUUGAGACAAGAGCAAGCAGCCAGGAUGCCACAGACCCUGAGCCAAUCCCUCGAAGGAGCCAAACUCCCUGUAUGGGAAAGGCAGGCUGCAACCAGAGCUUGGAAGUCAGUGGCCGCCCCGGGCCAACUCUACAGGCUCUGCUCAGUCGAGAGCUGCAUAUUUUCUGGUAGAAUCUGCCCUCCAGGUGCAGGGCAGGUGUGUGGGCACCAACGUCGCAGGGCAGGAAAGGCCAGAGCUGGGUCCCAGGCAUGCGAGGGAGCGGGCUGGACACGACCCCCAGCAGAAGGCCCGGGCUGGUGCUCAGGUGUCUGCCCAGGCAGGAGGGACCCAGCCGGGAGUGUUCGGCGCAGACAGAGAAGCAGUGAGGUGGGGCUGUGCGUGCCUCUCUGCCCACCUCCGACAGGGCUGUGGGGAGUGGGGUGCGGGGAUCAGGGAGCACAUAGCUUAGGCGCAGGCUGGGAGGUUCUGAAAGCAGCCUGUGAGGGUGGAGCAGAGGGCGCAGGCUGAGCCAGAACUCUCAGCUGAUGUGGUGGGAGCCGCUGAGCAGUGACCACCAGACCCACAUCCUCAGGGCCGUAGCCUGGCUGUGACAUCCGGAGAUGGCACCGUGGGGAGUCUGCACCGAGUCGCGAGUCACAAGUGCCCGGUCCAGGCCGGUCAGCGCAGUCACUG